UUUGAAACUUAGAUGGAACUAUUGGGACUAGAAGCUAUCUUUACAGACAUGGGCCCAUGGCUGCCUGCAGACAAUUUGGUACCUCAUGAGGACAACCUGUCCCAGGGUGAGGCCAAUACAGAGGAGAUCCAAACUGGGAUAUGAUCAAGGAGCAUUUGAGUGGCUGGAGCUAGCCAUGUCUGAAGCUGACAUAACUUGCCUGAUUCUGCUCUUCCCUUUGCAAAAGAUGCAUCCAAUGGAAGGGAGAAAACUCAUCUUCUCUUCGCAACUGGAGUUUUCUCAUCAUCUAGAGGAUCCCACAAUUGGACAAGCUUCCCCUUGGAGCCUACAUCCACACCUGAUUAUCAGCAGGGACUCGGGCUGUGAUGAGAAGCAGGGGUGGCGUCCUGGGCCCAGAGGUCUGUUCUGGCCAAAAAGAGAUGAGUCUUUCCCUGCACAGGCUAGAACAGCUGCUGUCCCCUCCUCCAGCACUGAAACCCUGGUUCCCUCCAGCCUUCAUUUUGGGCUGAAGGCCAAAUGAUUUCCUGUGUUUUCUUUGUUUAUCAGCUCUCUAUUAUCAUGAUGGCAAGAGCCACCCACUCAAUAAAGCAAAGUAAACAAACUCCCACAAAC
Molecule: long non-coding RNA, 612 nt
Filed under: Homo sapiens (human)
Lineage: Eukaryota; Metazoa; Chordata; Mammalia; Primates; Hominidae
Description: HSALNT0230602
Source: RNAcentral